Long non-coding RNA from Mytilus californianus (California mussel), 344 nucleotides. RefSeq lists it as uncharacterized. The record is from RefSeq and is a predicted model, not a curated record. The transcript is spliced from 3 exons. NCBI's taxonomy places the organism in Eukaryota, Metazoa, Mollusca, Bivalvia, Mytilida, Mytilidae.
CGUUGACUUCCGGGUGGUUCCUUUAGAAUGGAGAAUGUAGACAUGUGGUUCACACCUUGUUAAUAGUAAAAGAAUGCGGAUCGCUUUUCUAGCUGUGAUAUAUCUAGGAUCACUACUGUUUUUAUCAUACUGUGGAAACGAUCCUGCCAUUAAAGGAUAUGCCAAACGGAUAGAAAAGUUUAAACCACCCCCGCCUCCGCCUCGUCCAACCUCUGACGAUAAAAAAGAAUGGGAAGCCUACUGCAGUUACCGUGAUCAACACCAAAGACCACUUGCUGAUUUUGAAUGUCAAAUGCGAAGUGCUAACGGUCAAAGAUUCUGAAAAGGGUCAUGGGUUUACGUGC